RNAcentral lists this transfer RNA (86 nucleotides) under Candidatus Tokpelaia sp. JSC188. Its description in RNAcentral is "tRNA-Leu". It matches the Rfam family "tRNA". Rfam says of the family: Transfer RNA (tRNA) molecules are approximately 80 nucleotides in length. Their secondary structure includes four short double-helical elements and three loops (D, anti-codon, and T loops). Further hydrogen bonds mediate the characteristic L-shaped molecular structure. tRNAs have two regions of fundamental functional importance: the anti-codon, which is responsible for specific mRNA codon recognition, and the 3' end, to which the tRNAs corresponding amino acid is attached (by aminoacyl-tRNA synthetases). tRNAs cope with the degeneracy of the genetic code in two manners: having more than one tRNA (with a specific anti-codon) for a particular amino acid; and 'wobble' base-pairing, i.e. permitting non-standard base-pairing at the 3rd anti-codon position. Lineage: Bacteria; Pseudomonadati; Pseudomonadota; Alphaproteobacteria; Hyphomicrobiales. The record is from RNAcentral.
GCAGACGUGGCGAAAUCGGUAUACGCAAAGCACUUAAAAUGCUUCGAUCAUUGAUCAUGCGGGUUCAAGUCCCGCCGUCUGCACCA